Small nucleolar RNA from Nannospalax galili (Upper Galilee mountains blind mole rat), 135 nucleotides. The record is from Ensembl. NCBI's taxonomy places the organism in Eukaryota, Metazoa, Chordata, Mammalia, Rodentia, Spalacidae.
GGCCACCUGCUGUUUAACACAGGCUGUGUGUUCUCAUGCUGACUGUAUAGAAAGAGGAGGCAGAGCACACCUGUCCCACACACAUCCCAGACCAGGUCACUGUGCCUGGUCUGUAUUGUGAAUGGGGAGAUAUGG